CAGAGUGCAGCUAAAUAGCCCAGCGUCUCAUUUACACCGCGAAGAAAUCCGUGCAAAUCGGGUCACUCUGA
Molecule: transfer RNA, 71 nt
Filed under: Rasbora tornieri
Lineage: Eukaryota; Metazoa; Chordata; Actinopteri; Cypriniformes; Danionidae
Description: tRNA-Val
Source: RNAcentral